RNAcentral lists this unclassified non-coding RNA (257 nucleotides) under fungal sp. RNAcentral describes it as "partial internal transcribed spacer region". Lineage: Eukaryota; Fungi. The record is from RNAcentral.
AAGUCGUAACAAGGUGAUCCUCCAGUUGCAUCACACUACUGGAAGCCUUAGCUGCCUGCCUAGCGCAGGUGCCCAGAACGACUUCAUUUGCUAGACAAGGAAACAACAAGCAAAUGGCUAAACAAAUACUGGAGCUUGAAAGCUAGUUUGUGCAUGCGCUCAUACACAGACAAUACUACGAAAUUGCAGAGAAGUCCUAACGUCGUUAGUGCUGCCGUCUCGGCCGCUGACGCCUGUACCAAUGGAUGAUCUGCAGC